This 253-nucleotide ribosomal RNA is filed under the name uncultured bacterium. Its description in RNAcentral is "partial 16S ribosomal RNA". It matches the Rfam family "Bacterial small subunit ribosomal RNA", at positions 524 to 776 of the family's 1533-position model. The record is from RNAcentral.
UACAGAGGGUGCAAGCGUUGUUCGGAAUCAUUGGGCGUAAAGGGCGUGUAGGCGGUUUGUUAAGUCAUGUGUGAAAUCCCUCGGCUCAACCGGGGAACGACGCAUGAAACUGGCAAGCUAGAGUACCAAAGAGGGGGGUGGAAUUCCCGGUGUAGCGGUGAAAUGCGCAGAUAUCAGGAAGAACACCUAUGGCGAAGGCAGCUCUCUGGGACGGUACUGACGCUGAGACGCGAAAGCGUGGGGAGCGAACAGG